Molecule: ribosomal RNA, 463 nt
Filed under: uncultured bacterium
Lineage: Bacteria
Description: bacterial SSU rRNA
Rfam family: Bacterial small subunit ribosomal RNA
Source: RNAcentral
GAUGAACGCUAGCUACAGGCUUAACACAUGCAAGUCGAGGGGAAACGAUAGAGAAAGCUUGCUUUUUCUAGGCGUCGACCGGCGCACGGGUGAGUAACGCGUAUCCAACCUGCCCAUCACUUGGGGAUAACCUUGCGAAAGUAAGACUAAUACCCAAUGAUAUCUCUAGAAGACAUCUGAAAGAGAUUAAAGAUUUAUCGGUGAUGGAUGGGGAUGCGUCUGAUUAGCUUGUUGGCGGGGUAACGGCCCACCAAGGCGACGAUCAGUAGGGGUUCUGAGAGGAAGGUCCCCCACAUUGGAACUGAGACACGGUCCAAAACUCCUACGGGAGGCAGCAGUGAGGAAUAUUGGUCAAUGGACGAGAGUCUGAACCAGCCAAGUAGCGUGAAGGAUGAAGGUCCUACGGAUUGUAAACUUCUUUUAUUACGGGAAUAAAGUUACUACGUGUAGGAUUUGUUAUGUA